Molecule: ribosomal RNA, 501 nt
Filed under: uncultured bacterium
Lineage: Bacteria
Description: bacterial SSU rRNA
Rfam family: Bacterial small subunit ribosomal RNA
Source: RNAcentral
AGAGUUUGAUCCUGGCUCAGGAUGAACGCUAGCGGCAGGCCUAACACAUGCAAGUCGCGGGGCAGCACGGGUAGCAAUACCUGGUGGCGACCGGCGCACGGGUGCGUAACGCGUAUGCAACCUGCCCCCAUCAGGGGAAUAGCCCGCCGAAAGGCGGAUUAAUGCCCCAUAGGCCCAGGGCGCCGCAUGGCGCUAUGGGUAAAGCUCCGGCGGAUGGGGAUGGGCAUGCGUGCCAUUAGCUAGUUGGGGCGGUAACGGCGCACCAAGGCGACGAUGGCUAGGGGGUCUGAGAGGAUGGUCCCCCACACUGGUACUGAGACACGGACCAGACUCCUACGGGAGGCAGCAGUGGGGAAUAUUGGGCAAUGGAGGAAAAACCUCUUACCCAGCAGUGCCGCGUGAGUGAAGAAGGUCUUCGGAUUGUAAAGCUCUUUGAUUGGGGACGAAGAAAGUGACGGUACCCAAAGAACAAGCCCCGGCUAACUACGUGCCAGCAGCCGC